GGGCGAUUAGCUCAGCUGGUUAGAGCACUUGCUUUACACGCAAGGGGUCGGGGGUUCGAAUCCCUCAUCGCCCACCA
Molecule: transfer RNA, 77 nt
Filed under: Chloroflexota bacterium
Lineage: Bacteria; Bacillati; Chloroflexota
Description: Chloroflexi bacterium tRNA-Val
Rfam family: tRNA
About the family: Transfer RNA (tRNA) molecules are approximately 80 nucleotides in length. Their secondary structure includes four short double-helical elements and three loops (D, anti-codon, and T loops).
Source: RNAcentral